This 471-nucleotide ribosomal RNA is filed under the name uncultured organism. Its description in RNAcentral is "partial 16S ribosomal RNA". It matches the Rfam family "Bacterial small subunit ribosomal RNA", at positions 334 to 797 of the family's 1533-position model. The record is from RNAcentral.
CACUCCUACGGGAGGCAGCAGUAGGGAAUCUUCCACAAUGGGUGCAAACCUGAUGGAGCAAUGCCGCGUGAGUGAAGAAGGUCUUCGUAUCGUAAAGCUCUGUUGUUAGAGAAGAACACGUGCUAGGUAACUACUAGCGCCUUGACGGUAUCUAACCAGAAAGUCACGGCUAACUACGUGCCAGCAGCCGCGGUAAUACGUAGGUGACAAGCGUUGUCCGGAUUUAUUGGGCGUAAAGGGAGCGCAGGCGGUCUGUUUAGUCUAAUGUGAAAGCCCACGGCUUAACCGUGGAACGGCAUUGGAAACUGACAGACUUGAAUGUAGAAGAGGAAAAUGGAAUUCCAAGUGUAGCGGUGGAAUGCGUAGAUAUUUGGAGGAACACCAGUGGCGAAGGCGAUUUUCUGGUCUAACAUUGACGCUGAGGCUCGAAAGCGUGGGGAGCGAACAGGAUUAGAAACCCCGGUAGUCCCA